GUACUGACUGUUGUAAUAUCUGCCAUUUGCUCAUCAGUUGUGCUAAUCAUUACUCGUGUUUGCUGAACUACCUUGAAUGCUAUUUGACCGACGUGACAUUUUCAACUAUUCAUAGCUAAAUGAGUCCUAGACCUCUGAACCCUAGAAUAAACCAUGACAAGCCUCAUAGCGCUGACAAUAGAAGUGGAGAUAACGCGUGAGGUCAAUUUCUGUGGGCACACACACAUCGUCUGCAAAAUAUCAACGGCCAGUAUAGCUUAGAACAUGUGUAAAAUCAAUUUUAAAGUAUGUGCACGCAGCCAACUGCUAAACGUAACACCUCGCUACAUCGACAUCGAGGAAGGAUUGUAAACAAUUGAGAAAACGCUACAUCACAAAUUUUCAUUGGCUGCCAUGCUGCUUGCAUGGGCUGUUCUCAGUUGCCUGUGGGGCGCUCUCCAUGUCGCUUCAACUGCAGUAUUAAGUGCAGGUUUUUGUCAUGUUAAAUACUGUGCAGGCCGCGACAUUUGACGGCAAUUUGUUGUGUCUUGCCAUUGCACGUGGUCAGUGCGAGGGUCUUGAGGUUCGUCUUCGCUGUCGCCAGCCUCAGUAUCCAAGUCACUGCUUUCUAGUGGGUCAAAUCGAAAGUGAUUGGCCACGUCUAAUACGGCGGCAACACCCACCUGCAGGAAAUCGUCGCCACUGGACGACGAAAACAAGGAUAACGACAAUGGUGGCGUGGUCAUAAGACAGAAAGAGAGCGAUUUGGAUCAGAGAGCAAACGGGUAUAGACGGUAUUCUAAUUGACAUCAAGAGUAAAAAAUGGA
RNAcentral lists this long non-coding RNA (806 nucleotides) under Dermacentor andersoni. RNAcentral describes it as "uncharacterized LOC126536891". Lineage: Eukaryota; Metazoa; Arthropoda; Arachnida; Ixodida; Ixodidae. The record is from RNAcentral.